This 427-nucleotide ribosomal RNA is filed under the name uncultured bacterium. RNAcentral's name for it is "partial 16S ribosomal RNA". It matches the Rfam family "Bacterial small subunit ribosomal RNA", at positions 355 to 774 of the family's 1533-position model. The record is from RNAcentral.
UGGGGAAUAUUGGACAAUGGGCGAAAGCCUGAUCCAGCCAUGCCGCGUGUGUGAAGAAGGUCUUCGGAUUGUAACGCACUUUAAGUUGGGAGGAAGGGCAUUAACCUAAUACGUUAGUGUUUUGACGUUACCGACAGAAUAAGCACCGGCUCACUCUGUGCCAGCAGCCGCGGUAAUACAGAGGGUGCAAGCGUUAAUCGGAAUUACUGGGCGUAAAGCGCGCGUAGGUGGUUUGUUAAGUUGGAUGUGAAAUCCCCGGGCUCAACCUGGGAACUGCAUUCAAAACUGACUGACUAGAGUAUGGUAGAGGGUGGUGGAAUUUCCUGUGUAGCGGUGAAAUGCGUAGAUAUAGGAAGGAACACCAGUGGCGAAGGCGACCACCUGGACUAAUACUGACACUGAGGUGCGAAAGCGUGGGGAGCAAACA